Non-coding RNA from Dermacentor albipictus, 2762 nucleotides. The record is from RefSeq and is a predicted model, not a curated record. NCBI's taxonomy places the organism in Eukaryota, Metazoa, Arthropoda, Arachnida, Ixodida, Ixodidae.
GGGAUUGCGACUAUGGUGUGACUUCAAGUGGAUGACUAAUCUGAAACAAUCGGAUGGCAUAAUGACGACAGCUUUAUGAUAACAGCAUCAUCGCUUGCAAGGCUACGGUGCAAGUUGGCUCGAAAAAGUGGACAGUGCAUGUUCUGUGCAUAAUGUUUGCAGUAGCCCAUUUUGUUUGUGAACUUUGUGGCUGAGCUCGUGCUGCAAGACUCACCUCCUCGUGGACAUUGUGAUCUGCUGUACGAACGUUGUCGAGCAACAGCUUUGCCAUGCUGCUGGAGAACCUUUCAACCGAGUUCAACCGAGUUCAACCUUUCAGGCGAACUUUUCCUGUGUUUUGUAAUGAGACCAAGUUUUGUAGUCCUGUGUGUGUUCAUAUAGUAUUUCUACUCUCUUUGAUGUGCCUCUCUUGUUUAAUCAUUACUACACUUUGUUUCAUACUUAGUAGGCAAUGUUGCGGAAGCUGUAAAAAUAUGGCGAAUCUUUCCAGAAGCUCAUGCGGGUUCCCUCGUAGCUUCUGGCUACUUCUAACAGAUAAGAAAUUUUCCAUUUCGUGGAAGUAGUGCAGUCUCACUCUGUGCAUAUUGCGGUGCAGUUGUAUUUGGUCCGCAAUGCUUUCUAUCGCAUAACAUCACACAUUACAACUCCACUGAAAACAUUGAUGUGUGUAGCUUCUUGGACAUGACUGAGCUUUUGGUGGGUAGCAUGUGCUUCCUGCACCAACAAUUUAGUAAAUAUUGACGUGUCUGCAAAGCGCAAGAGACGAGGACGGAAGAAAGGACGCAAUACAGGCGCAUGUCUGUGUUGUCUUCUGGCUUCGUAUGGUUGUUACUAGACAUAGGGCCCCAUGGUUGUAUAUAUUUAUUAAUUCAUUGGUUUUAGAUUUCCUUACAGACCUCCUUUCUUCCAUCCUCAUCUUUUGCGCUGUGUAGACACAUUGAUAUUGCAUCAUCAACUCGCCUAAGAUUCCACUUUAUCAAAAUAUGGCGAAGUGUUUUGGUAUUUUUUUUCUGUAGCCUUGCUGUAGCACUUGGAAACUGCAGGCACUCAUAAUUAUUUUUACACCUUGUGCCCAUACUUCUUAUAGUGGUUCCAUAGUGCAGUGUGCUUGCCUGCAAAUUGUUCAUUGUGGUGUUUCUCAUUUGUUUUUUUGUUUUUUUUUUCUGACUGUGUUGCACUUAUAUGGACAGCUAGUGGAAUUCUUUCCAUUGUACCUCUCUGAACUACAUCAUAUACAGCGAUGGUUUUUAUUCUGAACAAAGAGAAAAUUAAGAUCUUGUGCUUAAGGCUGCUCUACCUUGUUUUUGCUCAGAUUUCGCGUCAAGAUUGCAUUUCUUGGCGUGCAUCACCCAGUAAAAUAGUUAACAUUCUUGUUGGCCUGGCUUGUCCUGACAUUUAAGUUGCCAGCAGUCAGGAAACCAGUCUUUGCCAUUGUACAAGCUGGUUCAGUUCGCCUGCAACUGUUGCUUUUGAAGGUUCUGCUUAACAAACCCGGGAAGCACUGAUACCAAGGGUUUGGAAUUUAAUGAUCAGAAGGUAAGAAAGUGAUUGUGCAGCAAAAUUUGAGCAAUAACAAACUUGGGGUAAUUGCUAAAUCUUGUUUUGUGAGGUUGUCAGAAUAAAAAAUGUUGGUCACUGCGUGUUUACACAAACCUUAUGCACGCUCAACGCACCUGUACUUGUGGGCAAUUUUCCAUGGCGAUGAAGGUGCAAGCUGCGGGGUAGAAGCUCCUGCACACAAAUCAAAUUACCAAUAACCUAAAACAAAAGUUCUUGCCCUUCUGGGCAUUUCUUGCUCCCAAACAAUUGUAAUCUAUCCAGCCUUCCUUUCUUUUCUUUAAUACUAAACGCUCAGUACUUUCGAUGUGAUGGCUGUCCCUCUUGUCAAUUUUGGUGGAUGGUUAGGCACAUGUGCUAAACCUAGCUCGGGGAAUGUUUGCUUUUUAUUAAGAAUAUGAAGCUUAGUGUAACUUCAGCCCUUACUUCAUAAUCACUUCUACUGUUAAAAAAAAGUGUUUACUCCCUGUUCUUUCAUUUUGCUUCAUUGUUUCAUAUGGUUGUUACUAAAUAUUGAGCCCCAUGGUUUUAUGUAUUGAUUUAUUGAUUUCAAGUUUUCUUACAGACCUGAUAUGCGGCAUUGAAUUCUCAUUCCUAACUGGCCUGCAAGCACUCAAAUUUGUAAAUUAAUUUAAUUUAGAGAGAGUAAACUUUAUUGCGAUAGCCCCAGCUCAGUUUCACCCACUUUGUAUAGGUUGUUGUCAGUCAAGCUGGGCUGUUUGAUCAGCUCAGUCGUGGCUUGUAUGUAUUUGGAGGAGGAGUCUGUUAGCCACUUCUCAAGAGUUACAGGCCGAUGGGUGGGCACAAGCAGUUGACAUUAGGUGAGAGAAAGUGAAAGCCCUUUGGCACUGCUAUUUGGGUAGAGAUGAAGUCAUUAUUGGUACGUCUUCAGUUUUGAAGGGAGCCAAAUGGGUGCUGCUCUGUUCCCACCUCCUAUUAAUUUUGGUGGGCAUGCUGUUUUUACACAAAAUGUAAAUGGCAAUGAAUAUAUAUAUAUUUUUUUCCAAACACCAUGCUAAUGACAUUUAAUGAAAACCUCUGUUAUGUGCAAAACAGUAAUCGAAUCUAAGACCACACUUGGGAGUACCUUCACACACGUGCCCCUGUCCUGCAGCUUUGAAAGUCUGGAAGUGCUUCCAUGAAAAGUUGUCCACAAAUUCAGAAGACAACAAGUAUACUCUAUCGACCAAUCUUUUGUGACAAAA